UGAUAUACCUUUAAAAAUGACGCUUUGGGGAGACCAAGCAUCUGAUUUUUUCUGUCGAUAAUGUUUACAAUGAGAAUGAGAAGAAACUCCUAAUCAUAUUGUUCAUCGGAUGCCUUCCUAAACGAUCCAAAGGCCAAGUAUAUUUAUGCGGAAAUGUGGUAUGCGCAUGGUACUUCAAUCCAGACAUCCGUGAAAUACAUGUGUUCUACAACAGUUUGUAAAGGUUACCAACAGCUGAGUUCCAGCUACUACGACAUCCUGUCACAAAAGAGGAAAUCCAGGUUUCUCAACCCUCUGAAAUUGAAGACAAGAUUGUGGAAGAGCUACUUGAGAUAGAUCCAGAUAUGUUUCAUGUAAUCACUGUCAUAUCCUUCUGUAUUCAAAAUAUUUCGUCCGUCAAACAUAGGCUUAGCCUAUUUACAACAACCAUCUAUUCUCUAAUGCAGCCACAAGGUUACAAGUGCACUAUUACUGUUUCAUGUCUGCUUCAAGACAAUAGAUGGUGGUUUCCAUCUUGCACCAAAUGCAAGAGGUCUCCAACUCAGACCUCUACUAGAUACCGAUGCACAACGUGCGACUAGACAAACUAGAUUUAGGUACAAACUCAGAUUAUUGCUACUGAUGGAACUUCUAAAGCAGAAUUCUUUUGUUUUGAUAAUAUAGCCAGAUGAAUAGUAGGAAAGUGCUAUGAAACCCUUGUCAGAAUAGCAGAUGAUUCUCGUGGUCCUCCAGCGGACCUGGCUGCCAUUGUGUCGUUUAAGUUUACCUUUGCAGUUACCAUUAACAUGUCGGCAUUCUCUGUCACCAACAAUCUUUUAUGUUCUCUCUGGACUAACAAAUCAUGGGAGACAUGCAUCACUAACAAUUUUUUUGAAAGCAAAUGGCAGAGCUCGCCUUUCAAUUAAGAGAGAAAAGAGUUACAGAACAAGGAUCACACAUCACACACACCAGGAGCACACCUCCUGCCUAAGAAGAACUGCUCACACAUAACGAUGUAUUUGGUUGUACAAGCAUACAAGACUCUCCAGCAGCAUCUUUUGGCAAACUAUCCAUAUCUACCAAUCAAAAAAUGUGGGUACAAGUCAGCUUAACAAAGACGGUCUGCCAUCGCCACCAAAAGAUCAGAACCAGCCAACUUCGCAUACACCAGCCUGAUUCUACACAACCUGGAGAUCAAAGCCACUAGAUCGUCAUGAAUUGCAAGAUAACUGUUUUGCGCACCUACAAAGGACGUCCAUGCUGCUGAAACGCAUAUACUUUUAUGUACAUAUAACGAAACUGCUACAGCGUCUCCAGCUUUGUAUAUGUUUAUGUGAACCCUAUCAGUGAACUCUAAUUUACGCUUGAUGUAGUCUACUCAAGUGCUACUUCAUGUGUAUUAUUGUCUCAGUUACUCUACAACUAUUGUGAGCCUUGGCGUCUGCUUCAUCUUGGUUUUGUACUUAUUUACUUACCUGCUUUUUAGCUAUGGUUUCCAGUUUAAAUGUGAUCACACUGCAACAUCCAAUUCGAUAUCCUCAUAAAACAU
Molecule: long non-coding RNA, 1528 nt
Organism: Zea mays
Lineage: Eukaryota; Viridiplantae; Streptophyta; Magnoliopsida; Poales; Poaceae
Exons: 7
Source: RefSeq, a predicted model, not a curated record